Molecule: small RNA, 125 nt
Filed under: Marmota monax (woodchuck)
Lineage: Eukaryota; Metazoa; Chordata; Mammalia; Rodentia; Sciuridae
Source: RNAcentral
GACAGGCGUGGUGGUGCACGCCUGUAAUCCCAGCAGCUUCAGAGGCUGAGACAGGAGGAUCGUGAGUUCGAAGCCAGCCUCAGCAAUAGUGAGGUGCUAAGCAACUAGGUGAGACCCUGUCUCUA